RNAcentral lists this ribosomal RNA (385 nucleotides) under uncultured bacterium. Its description in RNAcentral is "bacterial SSU rRNA". It matches the Rfam family "Bacterial small subunit ribosomal RNA", at positions 30 to 417 of the family's 1533-position model. The record is from RNAcentral.
AUUGAACGCUGGCGGCAUGCCUUACACAUGCAAGUCGAACGGCAGCGGGCCUUCGGGUGCCGGCGAGUGGCGAACGGGUGAGUAAUGCAUCGGAACGUGCCAUUGAGUGGGGGAUAACGUAGCGAAAGUUGCGCUAAUACCGCAUAUUCUGUGAGCAGGAAAGCAGGGGACCGCAAGGCCUUGCGCUCUUUGAGCGGCCGAUGUCAGAUUAGCUAGUUGGUGGGGUAAAGGCCUACCAAGGCGACGAUCUGUAGCGGGUCUGAGAGGAUGAUCCGCCACACUGGAACUGAGACACGGUCCAGACUCCUACGGGAGGCAGCAGUGGGGAAUUUUGGACAAUGGGGGCAACCCUGAUCCAGCCAUGCCGCGUGAGUGAAGAAGGCCU